Schistocerca gregaria is the source of this 1023-nucleotide long non-coding RNA. RefSeq lists it as uncharacterized. The transcript is spliced from 3 exons. The record is from RefSeq and is a predicted model, not a curated record. NCBI's taxonomy places the organism in Eukaryota, Metazoa, Arthropoda, Insecta, Orthoptera, Acrididae.
AAGGACAUUGAAUGUUGCCAGAAAUUUCGAAGUGUGCAGGAGCCAUAGAUGGCAAACGUGCAAAUUAUGUCAUGCCAAUACUGGAAGUGAAUAUAUCAACAAACAAAAAAUUACUAUCGUCCUUAUGGCGAUUGCAGACGCAAAUUAUUGGUUACAAUAUGUACAUGUUGGUUGUCAGCUCCGCAUAUGAGUUGGAGGAGUUUUUAAGAAUACUUCAUUUCAUAAAGCGUUAACGGAAAAUAAAUUAAACGUUCCUCCCCCAGAAUGUCUUCCAGGAGAAGAAAAUCAGACUCCACUCUCACAAACUAAACUCCUCAACGUCGUGACGUCACACACGACAGCAACCUUACGUCACGGACCAAAGCCGACGGGUGGAACCGGACACUUCGGUUGACCCCUUUGAACACACAAUUUUUUGCGGCGGGGAAGAUAACUGUUUGCCAUUGUUUUCGUCGAUAUUGUAGAUCGUGCACUGUACUGUAGAAGUUACUCAGCCAUAGGCUUUGGGCUAUUCUGAUGUCAAAGAGACGAAUAUCGGAACGCAAAAUUGUUGGAGAGAGAAUAGGGAAUGUAAGAAACGUAAACAUUCUGAGAGGCGAGUGUAAUUAGUGACAUUCUGGUCACCUUAUUGAAUGUGCUUGAAAUAGAAGUGUACACCGCAUUAAUGACAUUACUGGUGAAAAUAGAAACAUAUCACAAAUCCAGUACCACACCAGAAUGACUACAGGAUUGCAAUACCAAAUUUUCUCUACCACCACCCUAUAUUUUAUGGGAUGGUUACGAAUGAGAGGCCAUGGCCAAAACUCAAGAUCAUUAUUUGAUAUUUUACCAUCUGUGCCAAAUUAAUGUGUCUGGUAAUAUAUUAAUGUUAUGACACUGUCAACAGUAGUAUCAAAGAUACACUUUCAAAAACUGAAAUGGUUCACACUGCACUGUGAAAACCUGCUGUCAUAAAAUGUUUAUUGAAGUGGAUGACACUUGUCUCUCGUGUGUUGGUGCUACUGUUGUAACGAAUGUGUUCAA